This 381-nucleotide ribosomal RNA is filed under the name uncultured bacterium. Its description in RNAcentral is "bacterial SSU rRNA". It matches the Rfam family "Bacterial small subunit ribosomal RNA", at positions 30 to 413 of the family's 1533-position model. The record is from RNAcentral.
AUUGAACGCUGGCGGAAUGCUUUACACAUGCAAGUCGAACGGUAGAGGGGGGCAACCCCUUGAGAGUGGCGAACGGGUGAGUAAUAUAUCGGAACGUGCCCAGUCGUGGGGAUAACGUAGCGAAAGUUACGCUAAUACCGCAUACGAUCUAAGGAUGAAAGCGGGGGACUCGCAAGAGCCUCGCGCGAUUGGAGCGGCCGAUAUCAGAUUAGGUAGUUGGUGGGGUAAAGGCUCACCAAGCCAACGAUCUGUAGCUGGUCUGAGAGGACGACCAGCCACACUGGGACUGAGACACGGCCCAGACUCCUACGGGAGGCAGCAGUGGGGAAUUUUGGACAAUGGGCGCAAGCCUGAUCCAGCAAUGCCGCGUGCAGGAUGAAG